CAGGAAAUAGUUUAAUUUAGAAUUCUAUCUUUGGGAGAUAGUGGUGGAAGUUAAAAUCUUUCUUUUCUGG
Molecule: transfer RNA, 70 nt
Filed under: Paracheirodon innesi (neon tetra)
Lineage: Eukaryota; Metazoa; Chordata; Actinopteri; Characiformes; Acestrorhamphidae
Description: tRNA-Pro
Rfam family: tRNA
About the family: Transfer RNA (tRNA) molecules are approximately 80 nucleotides in length. Their secondary structure includes four short double-helical elements and three loops (D, anti-codon, and T loops).
Source: RNAcentral